Paramuricea clavata is the source of this 737-nucleotide non-coding RNA. Lineage: Eukaryota; Metazoa; Cnidaria; Anthozoa; Malacalcyonacea; Plexauridae. The record is from the annotation of a GenBank genome assembly.
GAAUGAUAUUUGGUGAGAAAAUUAAACUUAAAGGGAUCGAUAUGGCAAUAUAAAUUAAGUUUGUCUUAUUUGAAAGAACAUUUAAAAUGAUAUAUAAACUUCCUUUACAAUUAUUCCGUAUGUUGCUUGGUUUUCGAAGUAAAUCGACUUAUUUUGAUCAAAAGCAGCGUGCAUUCCGCCAUCUUGGAUAUGCAAUCGAUAUGCAUACGUCACAAGUAGGGUAAGAAGCGAAAUUUUUAUCUUGCAAACCACUUGUCAUUAUCAAUAUGAAACUCGAUUUUCCGAAGUCUGUUUAGUACUCAAUUAACUCACAACAUUUUAAUUAAGAAACUUUUCGAAGAAAUUCAGUCCCACAUAAAGAAGUUUUAACAAGUUUACCCUGCUUGUGACGUCAUCAAAAACUCAGUUAAUUAGGUCAAUUAUAAUACCAAGAUGGUGGACUGUAUACUGUUUUUGGUCAAAAUAUUUCGAAAACCAAGCAAGGUACGAAAAAGUUGUAAAGGGUCUUCAUAUAUAACUUUAAAAGUUCUUUCAAAUAAGACAAAGUUAAUUUAUAUUGCCAUAUCCUUUUAAAGUUUAUGUAAAUCAGCAUGAUUUCUGUAUCUACCUGCGAACAGGCUCUCAAGGUGAAAUGAGAGCCUGCACUGAUGAUAUACAAUUUUGAAUAUCUGCCCCGUAACGUUCGUUUUUCCAAACAUGGAAUGUCUGUCCUUAUAUGGUGUUGUUUACAACUUUCG